UAGGGAAUCUUCCGCAAUGGGCGAAAGCCUGACGGAGCAACGCCGCGUGAGUGAUGAAGGUCUUCGGAUCGUAAAACUCUGUUAUUAGGGAAGAACAAAUGUGUAAGUAACUAUGCACGUCUUGACGGUACCUAAUCAGAAAGCCACGGCUAACUACGUGCCAGCAGCCGCGGUAAUAUGUAGGUGGCAAGCGUUAUCCGGAAUUAUUGGGCGUAAAGCGCGCGUAGGCGGUUUUUUAAGUCUGAUGUGAAAGCCCACGGCUCAACCGUGGAGGGUCAUUGGAAACUGGAAAACUUGAGUGCAGAAGAGGAAAGUGGAAUUCCAUGUGUAGCGGUGAAAUGCGCAGAGAUAUGGAGGAACACCAGUGGCGAAGGCGACUUUCUAGUCUGUAACUGACGCUGAUGUGCGAAAGCGUGGGGAUCAAACAGG
This 429-nucleotide ribosomal RNA is filed under the name Actinomycetes bacterium. Its description in RNAcentral is "Actinobacteria bacterium partial 16S ribosomal RNA". It matches the Rfam family "Bacterial small subunit ribosomal RNA", at positions 355 to 776 of the family's 1533-position model. The record is from RNAcentral. Lineage: Bacteria; Bacillati; Actinomycetota; Actinomycetes.